UAGAGCUGCAAUGUAAGCAUUGCAGAGUUUCUGAAACUGCAAUGUUUUACACUGCAGUACUA
Molecule: microRNA precursor, 62 nt
Filed under: Pelobates cultripes (western spadefoot toad)
Lineage: Eukaryota; Metazoa; Chordata; Amphibia; Anura; Pelobatidae
Source: RNAcentral